RNAcentral lists this ribosomal RNA (497 nucleotides) under uncultured bacterium. RNAcentral's name for it is "partial 16S ribosomal RNA". It matches the Rfam family "Bacterial small subunit ribosomal RNA", at positions 28 to 507 of the family's 1533-position model. The record is from RNAcentral.
GAUGAACGCUGGCAGCGUGCCUAAUACAUGCAAGUCGAGCGAACAGAUGAGGAGCUUGCUCCUCUGACGUUAGCGGCGGACGGGUGAGUAACACGUGGAUAACCUACCUAUAGGACUGGGAUAACUUCGGGAAACCGGAGCUAAUACUGGAUAAUAUAUUGAACCGCAUGGUUCAAUAGUGAAAGACGGUUUUGCUGUCACUUAUAGAUGGAUCCGCGCCGCAUUAGCUAGUUGGUAAGGUAACGGCUUACCAAGGCAACGAUGCGUAGCCGACCUGAGAGGGUGAUCGGCCACACUGGAACUGAGACACGGUCCAGACUCCUACGGGAGGCAGCAGUAGGGAAUCUUCCGCAAUGGGCGAAAGCCUGACGGAGCAACGCCGCGUGAGUGAUGAAGGUCUUCGGAUCGUAAAACUCUGUUAUUAGGGAAGAACAAAUGUGUAAGUAACUAUGCACGUCUUGACGGUACCUAAUCAGAAAGCCACGGCUAACUACGUG